This 62-nucleotide transfer RNA is filed under the name Vagitanus terminalis. Its description in RNAcentral is "tRNA-Ala". Lineage: Eukaryota; Metazoa; Arthropoda; Insecta; Hemiptera; Cicadidae. The record is from RNAcentral.
GGGGAUAUAUUUAAUUAUAAUAAUUGACUUGCAUUCAAUAGGUAUCUUCUUGAUUAUUCUCG